This 450-nucleotide ribosomal RNA is filed under the name uncultured bacterium. RNAcentral's name for it is "bacterial SSU rRNA". It matches the Rfam family "Bacterial small subunit ribosomal RNA", at positions 354 to 796 of the family's 1533-position model. The record is from RNAcentral.
GUGGGGAAUUUUGGACAAUGGGCGCAAGCCUGAUCCAGCAAUGCCGCGUGCAGGAAGAAGGCCUUCGGGUUGUAAACUGCUUUUGUACGGAACGAAACGGUCCUGGUUAAUACCUGGGGCUAAUGACGGUACCGUAAGAAUAAGCACCGGCUAACUACGUGCCAGCAGCCGCGGUAAUACGUAGGGUGCGAGCGUUAAUCGGAAUUACUGGGCGUAAAGCGUGCGCAGGCGGUGCUGUAAGACAGGCGUGAAAUCCCCGGGCUCAACCUGGGAAUUGCGCUUGUGACUGCAGUGCUGGAGUACGGCAGAGGGGGAUGGAAUUCCGCGUGUAGCAGUGAAAUGCGUAGAUAUGCGGAGGAACACCGAUGGCGAAGGCAGUCCCCUGGGCCUGUACUGACGCUCAUGCACGAAAGCGUGGGGAGCAAACAGGAUUAGAUACCCCAGUAGUCC